Molecule: long non-coding RNA, 868 nt
Organism: Mercenaria mercenaria
Lineage: Eukaryota; Metazoa; Mollusca; Bivalvia; Venerida; Veneridae
Exons: 7
Source: RefSeq, a predicted model, not a curated record
AUGUCAUGAAGCCGAGUGACUUUCUUGAUUCCAGCUCUACCUGUGUACACAUUGUCAUGAACCCCAGUGAUUUUCUUGAUUCCAGCUUUACCUGUGCACACUAUCAUGAAGCCCAGUGAACUUCUUGCUACCAGCUCUACAGGCCAGUUGAAACCAGAGACUACCGGUACAUUUUUUGGUGAUCAUUUGACGAAGCCAGUUGUAGUGCUUUUACAGUUAGGGGGAGUGAGUUUACAUUUUGCUGGAACCUUGUUACAGGGCCUGUUUUGCCUGUUUGCCGCCAUCUAGAGAGUAUUCUUCAUACGCAUGUGAUUUGGUUCAAAAUGGUGGAAAAAAGAGCCGGUCAACCCAAUGUUUACUGUGGCUGGAAUUUUUUCUCUUGGAUAGUUCUGUUGAGUUCAGUACCUAAAAACCAGAAAUGAGAGCGCUCGGGCAAUGUGAAGUUUGUCGCAUAGACGGGGAUUGACCGCCUUUGUACAUAUAUGUCUACAGCUUCUCAGAUUUGACCGAAGACAGUUGUUCGGUGUUGUGAAUGGAUGUUGUUCGUCCGAAGGCCUUCCAGUCACACAGAAGAUCCUGGUUCAGUCGCACGAAGGGUCACUUCCAUUGAUAUUAGUCACAGGAAAAAUUAGGAGCACCAGUUGUAGUUUUUCAGUACCUAAGAACCUGAAAUGAGAGCGCUCGGGCAAUGUGAAGUUUGUCGCAUAGACGGGGAUUGACCGCCUUUGUACAUAUAUGUCUACAGCUUCUCAGAUUUGACCGAAGACAGUUGUUCGGUGUUGUGAAUGGAUGUUGUUCGGCCGAAGGCCUUCCAGUCACACAGAAGAUCCUGGUUCAGUCACACGAAGGGUCACUUCAUUGAUAUUAG